Melanaphis sacchari is the source of this 674-nucleotide long non-coding RNA. RefSeq lists it as uncharacterized. Lineage: Eukaryota; Metazoa; Arthropoda; Insecta; Hemiptera; Aphididae. The transcript has 3 exons. The record is from RefSeq and is a predicted model, not a curated record.
AGCAGUUGUUGAACAGUUAGCGUUAUGUGUUGGAUAUGUUGUUUCAAAAUAUAAUAUUAAAGAAAAUGUUCUUAAAUUUAUACCUGCAAGCCUAACUGAGAAAAAUCUAGCCGAGUCUAUUAUAAGUGGAUUAAAUGAAUGUGGAAUAAACUGCAAUUUCCUUUAUGGUCAAGGAUAUGACGGUGCUUAAAACAUGUCAGGCCAGUUCAAUGGUGCACAAACACACAUUAGAGCUACUUUUCCUAAAGCGAUAUAAUAUGUACAUUGUGCAGCCCACUCAUAAAACUUGGCUGUAUCAAUUGCAUGUAAUAUAUAACCCAAACUGUUAGGGCAUUUUAGAGAAAUUAUAUAUUUUCUUUAAUACACCUAAACGUCAUAAUGUGUUGUUAUCUUGUAUUGAAAAUAGCAAUACUGAUAUCAAAAUAAAAAGCCUUAAAAGACUAUGUGCUACAAGAUGGGCCCAGAGCUAUGAUGCUGUACAUGAUUUUGUGGAAUUAUUUGAUUUUAUAUUAGAAGCCUUAGAACUAAUUUCAGACUGGAAAGAUUCAUCAGGAACUGCUAUAAAAGUCAAUAUGCUUAUAAAACCAAUUUAUUCAGAGUUCAUUGUAUCAGUUUAUGUUGUUAAGCAAAGAAUUACAAGAAAGGUUUUUGUCUCAUUCAGAUAUUUUAAAAGG